RNAcentral lists this ribosomal RNA (429 nucleotides) under Acidobacteriota bacterium. Its description in RNAcentral is "Acidobacteria bacterium partial 16S ribosomal RNA". It matches the Rfam family "Bacterial small subunit ribosomal RNA", at positions 355 to 776 of the family's 1533-position model. Lineage: Bacteria; Pseudomonadati; Acidobacteriota. The record is from RNAcentral.
UGGGGAAUUUUGGACAAUGGGGGAAACCCUGAUCCAGCCAUCCCGCGUGUGCGAUGAAGGCCUUCGGGUUGUAAAGCACUUUUGGCAGGAAAGAAACGUCAUGGGUUAAUACCCCGUGAAACUGACGGUACCUGCAGAAUAAGCACCGGCUAACUACGUGACAGCAGCCGCGGUAAUACGUAGGGUGCAAGCGUUAAUCGGAAUUACUGGGCGUAAAGCGUGCGCAGGCGGUUCGGAAAGAAAGAUGUGAAAUCCCAGAGCUCAACUUUGGAACUGCAUUUUUAACUACCGGGCUAGAGUGUGUCAGAGGGAGGUGGAAUUCCGCGUGUAGCAGUGAAAUGCGUAGAUAUGCGGAGGAACACCGAUGGCGAAGGCAGCCUCCUGGGAUAACACUGACGCUCAUGCACGAAAGCGUGGGGAGCAAACAGG